GAACGGGUGAGUAACGCGUGAGGAACCUGCCUCAAAGAGGGGGACAACAGUUGGAAACGACUGCUAAUACCGCAUAAGCCCACGGUGCCGCAUGGCACAGAGGGAAAAGGAGCAAUCCGCUUUGAGAUGGCCUCGCGUCCGAUUAGCUAGUUGGUGAGGUAACGGCCCACCAAGGCGACGAUCGGUAGCCGGACUGAGAGGUUGAACGGCCACAUUGGGACUGAGACACGGCCCAGACUCCUACGGGAGGCAGCAUG
Molecule: ribosomal RNA, 257 nt
Filed under: uncultured bacterium
Lineage: Bacteria
Description: partial 16S ribosomal RNA
Rfam family: Bacterial small subunit ribosomal RNA
Source: RNAcentral